UAUGUAUUAUAGAUAUAUAUUUGUAAAACUGAAAUCAGAUGAAAUAAAUGUUGCCUGAGGUUUUAAACGUUUAAUAAAAACAAUAUUUCAUUUGAAAAAAAUGUAAGAUAUGUAAAAUUACACAUUGAUCAUUUUGCUGGUCUUGUAUCAUAAAACGUGUGGCCCGAAGAGCACGUGUCCGGUAGAGAUACGUCACUUGUGUUAGGAAUCGUUUUAUAACCUAUCACAGUAAAGGAACGUCCCAGUAUAGCAGCCGAAGAAUGCAGUGGAAGUUUUUGUACAAAGUACAAUUGAUCUACAAUUGAUAUUUUCCGCAAUACUUAUCUGGUGUUCGGUCAGGGUGUCCCAUACUCAUGAUAUUUAUGACAGUGGAAUGGCGUUAGUAAAUCAAUUACAAAAAUUUUCGAGAUCAAUUCUCGGUAUUGCAUCAAAUUAUUCAAAAUAUACAAGCAACACAACGUUGCCCUUUUUGCAGGCAACAAGAGGAAUAUCGACCACGCAACCACUUUCAGAAAAACAAGAGAGUAUAACAUCUAGAAAAAUAACAUAGUAUUAAUAGAAUAGUAUUAAUAAGAACAACAUUGACAGUGAACAACUAAAAAUAUAACACUGUUAUAAAUAUAUGAUAUACGAAUUUUAUUUAUGUAUUAUUAAGACAAAGUAAAUAUAACGUUUGUUAAAGCAAGUGGAGAGAGAAUCAAAGCAAAAGGGAAAGUAGGAGAUACUAUAUUAGACAUAGUAGUAAAUAAUGAAAUUGAUUUAGGUGGAUAUGGUCACGGCUAGGCUGUCAAAUAGUAAUGUCUAAGGAACUAGAUGGAAUUGAGGUAAGAGUUCCAUCAACAAUUAAUGAUGCAAGAGCAUAACUGAAAUUAUCUAUAGGUUUUUGAAAAUUUGUAUACAAUGUUAUACAUCUCUUGUUAAAAAACCCUUGUUAUAAUUAUUAAAAUAUUGGUAUUAAAAAAAUAUAAUAAAGAAUCUUGUGUUUAAAUGUGAAGCUUAUAUAUAUACAUAUGUUAUAGUAUAAUUGCAAUUUUGAUAUUUGUACAUUGCCAUUGUAAAAAGCCUAUCCAAUUAUGAAGAAAAUAUAUCUUUUAUUUUUAAUAUA
Molecule: RNA transcript, 1105 nt
Organism: Bombus huntii
Lineage: Eukaryota; Metazoa; Arthropoda; Insecta; Hymenoptera; Apidae
Gene name: adrenodoxin-like protein 2, mitochondrial
Exons: 4
Source: RefSeq, a predicted model, not a curated record